UUUGGAGAGUUUGAUCCUGGCUCAGGACGAACGCUGGCGGCGUGCCUAAUACAUGCAAGUCGAGCGGAGCUUAUCCUUCGGGAUAAGCUUAGCGGCGGACGGGUGAGUAACACGUAGGCAACCUACCCUCUAGACUGGGAUAACUACCGGAAACGGUAGCUAAUACCGGAUAAUUCCUUCACCCUCAUGGGCGAGGGAUGAAAGGCGGAGCAAUCUGCCACUAGAGGAUGGGCCUGCGGCGCAUUAGCUAGUUGGUGGGGUAACGGCCUACCAAGGCGACGAUGCGUAGCCGACCUGAGAGGGUGAACGGCCACACUGGGACUGAGACACGGCCCAGACUCCUACGGGAGGCAGCAGUAGGGAAUCUUCCGCAAUGGGCGAAAGCCUGACGGAGCAACGCCGCGUGAGUGAUGAAGGUUUUCGGAUCGUAAAGCUCUGUUGCCAGGGAAGAACGUCCGGUAGAGUAACUGCUACCGGAGUGACGGUACCUGAGAAGAAAGCCCCGGCUAACUACGUGCCAGCAGCCGCGGUAAUACGUAGGGGGCAAGCGUUGUCCGGAAUUA
RNAcentral lists this ribosomal RNA (563 nucleotides) under Paenibacillus helianthi. Its description in RNAcentral is "bacterial SSU rRNA". It matches the Rfam family "Bacterial small subunit ribosomal RNA", at positions 1 to 553 of the family's 1533-position model. Lineage: Bacteria; Bacillati; Bacillota; Bacilli; Caryophanales; Paenibacillaceae. The record is from RNAcentral.